Molecule: unclassified non-coding RNA, 324 nt
Organism: Nomascus leucogenys (northern white-cheeked gibbon)
Lineage: Eukaryota; Metazoa; Chordata; Mammalia; Primates; Hylobatidae
Gene: 7SK
Rfam family: 7SK RNA
About the family: 7SK was discovered as an abundant small nuclear RNA in the mid-70s but a possible function has only recently been suggested. Two independent studies have found that 7SK RNA binds the CDK9/cyclin T complex (known as elongation factor P-TEFb).
Source: Ensembl
GGAUGCGAGGGUGAUCUGGCUGCGACAUCUGUCACCCCAUUGAUCGCCAGGGUUGAUUCGGCUGAUCUGGCUGGCUAGGCGGGUGUCCCCUUCCUCCCUCACCGCUCCAUGUGCGUCCCUCCCGAAGCUGCGUGCUCGGUCGAAGAGGACGACCAUCCCCGAUAGAGGAGGACCGGUCUUCGGUCAAGGGUAUACGAGUAGCUGCACUCCCCUGCUAGAACCUCCAAACAAGCUCUCAAGGUCCAUAAUUAUUAGGUUCUGACCACGAUAUUAACAGCUUUUUAAUGUUAAUGAGUACCUUAAGUAUGUAUUUCCAUGAUUUGU